RNAcentral lists this non-coding RNA (28 nucleotides) under Bombyx mori (domestic silkworm). The record is from RNAcentral. Lineage: Eukaryota; Metazoa; Arthropoda; Insecta; Lepidoptera; Bombycidae.
UAGUCAUAAUAUGGUGUCGGUGGCUCAU